AGGAAUAUUGGUCAAUGGGCGCGAGCCUGAACCAGCCAAGUAGCGUGAAGGAUGAAGGUCCUACGGAUUGUAAACUUCUUUUAUAAGGGAAUAAAGUCACCCACGUGUGGGUGUUUGUAUGUACCUUAUGAAUAAGCAUCGGCUAACUCCGUGCCAGCAGCCGCGGUAAUACGGAGGAUCCGAGCGUUAUCCGGAUUUAUUGGGUUUAAAGGGAGCGUAGGCGGGUGCUUAAGUCAGUUGUGAAAGUUUGCGGCUCAACCGUAAAAUUGCAGUUGAUACUGGGCGCCUUGAGUGCAGCAUAGGUAGGCGGAAUUCGUGGUGUAGCGGUGAAAUGCUUAGAUAUCACGAAGAACUCCGAUUGCGAAGGCAGCUUACUGGACUGUAACUGACGCUGAUGCUCGAAAGUGUGGGUAUCAAACAGGAUUAGAUACCCUGGUAGUCCACACAGUAAACGAUGAAUACUCGCUGUUGGCGAUACACAGUCAGCGGCCAAGCGAAAGCAUUAAGUAUUCCACCUGGGGAGUACGCCGGCAACGGUGAAACUCAAAGGAAUUGACGGGGGCCCGCACAAGCGGAGGAACAUGUGGUUUAAUUCGAGGAUACGCGAGGAACCUUACCCGGGCUUAAAUUGCAGCGGAAUGUAGUGGAAACAUUACAGCCUUCGGGCCGCUGUGAAGGUGCUGCAUGGUUGUCGUCAGCUCGUGCCGUGAGGUGUCGGCUUAAGUGCCAUAACGAGCGCAACCCUCGUGUCCAGUUACUAGCAGGUUAUGCUGAGGACUCUGGACAGACUGCCAUCGUAAGAUGUGAGGAAGGUGGGGAUGACGUCAAAUCAGCACGGCCCUUACGUCCGGGGCUACACACGUGUUACAAUGGGGGGUACAGCAGGCAGCUACCGGGCGACCGGAUGCCAAUCCCGAAAGCCUCUCUCAGUUCGGACUGGAGUCUGCAACCCGACUCCACGAAGCUGGAUUCGCUAGUAAUCGCGAAUCAGAAUGUCGCGGUGAAUACGUUCCCG
RNAcentral lists this ribosomal RNA (1015 nucleotides) under uncultured bacterium. RNAcentral describes it as "bacterial SSU rRNA". It matches the Rfam family "Bacterial small subunit ribosomal RNA", at positions 357 to 1376 of the family's 1533-position model. The record is from RNAcentral.